AGUAACACGUGGAUAACCUACCUAUAAGACUGGGAUAACUUCGGGAAACCGGAGCUAAUACCGGAUAAUAUCUUGAACCGCAUGGUUCAAAAGUGAAAGACGGUCUUGCUGUCACUUAUAGAUGGAUCCGCGCUGCAUUAGCUAGUUGGUAAGGUAACGGCUUACCAAGGCAACGAUGCAUAGCCGACCUGAGAGGGUGAUCGGCCACACUGGAACUGAGACACGGUCCAG
RNAcentral lists this ribosomal RNA (231 nucleotides) under uncultured Staphylococcus sp. Its description in RNAcentral is "partial 16S ribosomal RNA". It matches the Rfam family "Bacterial small subunit ribosomal RNA", at positions 109 to 334 of the family's 1533-position model. The record is from RNAcentral. Lineage: Bacteria; Bacillati; Bacillota; Bacilli; Caryophanales; Staphylococcaceae.